AUUGAACGCUGGCGGCAUGCUUUACACAUGCAAGUCGAACGGUAACAGGCCGCAAGGUGCUGACGAGUGGCGAACGGGUGAGUAAUGCAUCGGAACGUGCCCAGUCGUGGGGGAUAACUACUCGCAAGAGUAGCUAAUACCGCAUACGAUCUAUGGAUGACAGCGGGGGACCGUAAGGCCUCGCGCGAUUGGAGCGGCCGAUGUCAGAUUAGGUGGUUGGUGGGGUAAAGGCUCACCAAGCCAACGAUCUGUAGCUGGUCUGAGAGGACGACCAGCCACACUGGGACUGAGACACGGCCCAGACUCCUACGGGAGGCAGCAGUGGGGAAUGUUGGACAAUGGGCGCAAGCCUGAUCCAGCAAUGCCGCGUGCAGGAAGAAGGCCUUCGGGUUGUAAACUGCUUUUGUACGGAACGAAACGGCUCUGGUUAAUACCCGGGGCUAAUGACGGUACCGUAAGAAUAAGCACCGGCUAACUACGUG
RNAcentral lists this ribosomal RNA (482 nucleotides) under uncultured bacterium. RNAcentral describes it as "partial 16S ribosomal RNA". It matches the Rfam family "Bacterial small subunit ribosomal RNA", at positions 30 to 507 of the family's 1533-position model. The record is from RNAcentral.